RNAcentral lists this long non-coding RNA (1254 nucleotides) under Homo sapiens (human). Its description in RNAcentral is "HSALNT0007095". The record is from RNAcentral. Lineage: Eukaryota; Metazoa; Chordata; Mammalia; Primates; Hominidae.
CGCUCUGUCAUCCAGACUGGAGUGCCUGUCCAAGGAUCACAUUCUGAGCCGUCAGGCCCUGGACUUCAUGAAGUCCUUGCUUUACCAGUCUAUGUUUCUCUACUGUGUAACUUGAGAAGAAUUUCACUGGUGAUUUCUCGUUCUGUCUGUCUUCCCCUUACACCGGUGGUUCUCAACCAGGGAAGAGUUUACCUCCUAGGGGACAUGUGGCAAUGUCUGGAGGCAUUUCUGGUUGUCACAACUCGGUGGAGGGUGCUAGUGGCAUCUAGCUACUACUAAACAAUCUGCAAUACCUAAGACAUCCCCACAGCAAUAAUUAUCUGACCAAAAAUGUCAAUAAUAUUGAGGUUGACAAGCCUUGCUUCAUGAGGGUUGGGCAUAGAACAUCUCAUUUUCUGUUUUAUGUCCAGCGUCUGGCAGCAUGCCUGGCUUAUAGUAAAGCAUAGCCACAGGUCCCUAAGCAUGCUGUCCUCCAUUCUCCAUCCCAAUUGUAAAACUUUCCAUGUUCUAUACCUUUCCAUCCAUGAUGGCAGCUGGAAGUUAUGAAAUAAACCCCUGAUAUCAUAAAGUUCCACCCAGAAGAAAAUUAAAACCAAUAAAUAACAGGGGAUACAAGCUAAUACGAAGGAACAUUAUGACUACUCUGAAGAUGUUUAAUACUCAAUGAUUUACUGAUUGCUUUCUUAAAUGAAUGAGUGUUGACUCAAGAACAUUGGUCAGAAAGUUUGUCACUGACCUGACCACAAAGAAGGUUGUAGUCACAAAGGAACAGCAAGAACUGCUCUUGAGAAUGAUCAUAAAGGGUGAAAACACUCUGGCCUGCCACAGCACCAAGGAUAGAAAUGGUAAUGACACUGAUUUCUGCUGACUGCCUUUGGAUCACUAUGACUGGUCAGUCUGGGACAUUCACUUGUUUUUCUUAUCUAGAAAGCCCUGAGAACUAAACAUUUUGGCAAUCUGGAAAAGGAGACUGGUGGAUGAAUUUCCUCCAUGGUGGGCUGGUCUUAAGCAAACUCCUUUUAUGUGUGAUAUGGGAGAUACUGAAAGGCCAGAUGGAGCAACCAGCUAAGUAUCUAAAAUUCCUACCAUUUAAACAACAAAGAGAUCAUUGUUUUAUAAUUCAUUUAUAAUUGUCUGUUGAUUUAUCAUGGUGAUAUAAAGGUGGAGACAUUGUUAUUCUUAUAUCCUGUGGGUAGCAUGUUUAGAGAGUGAUUUUGCAAUAGGUUGUGUUGUUUGUUUUUUUGUAGAGAUGGG